AUGAAGGGGCUCGCCGACGAGCUCGCUGCUGCAGGAAAACCGCUUGAUGAAGACGACAUCGUUUCGCACAUCGUGGAGGGUCUCAUGCAUGAGCCCGACUACAGCGGCUUGGUCACCGCCAUCUCCACGCGUGCCAUCACCGAUCAACCGAUCGGCCUCAGCGAGCUCUUUUCACUACUGCUCGCCGCUGAGUCUCGGAUCACCGCCCAGCACGCCGCCUACACCGCCCAUCACUCCGUCAACCUCGCCGCCAAGGGUGGUCGAGGUGGCUACGGCGGCGGACGCGGCGAUCAGGGUGGUGGACGCGACGGCUACAACGGGGGAAACUACAACGACAACUCGGGCGGUGGUGCGCCGCGCCAGCAAGGUGGUGACCGCGAGCGCUGCCAAAUCUGCAAGGAGGAUGUGUUGGAAAUAUGCCCUAGAGGCAAUAAUAAAAUGAUUAUUAUAUUUCCUUGUUCAUGA
RNAcentral lists this ribosomal RNA (465 nucleotides) under Triticum aestivum (bread wheat). RNAcentral describes it as "partial small subunit ribosomal RNA". The record is from RNAcentral. Lineage: Eukaryota; Viridiplantae; Streptophyta; Magnoliopsida; Poales; Poaceae.